CCUACAGUGGAAAGGAUUAUAUAUCUAAAUAUUGAUGCAAGAUUUAUUUUCCUUGGGUGUGAAAGAUGACAUCUUUUAAAUGGCAUCCAAUUUCCAAUUUGCAUAAAUGUGCUCUUUUUAAGGUGUUUUCCAUAACAGCCCUUAACAUUUGUGGCUCCGGUGAUCUGAUUUCUGUUCUAAUGUCCUUUUUAAGAUCUGCUAUUGUUUGAGGCUUGUUGACAUAAACUUUUUCCUUAAGAUUGCCCCAUAGCAAAAAGUCUGGAGCAGUUAGAUCUGGAAAAUGA
Long non-coding RNA from Octopus sinensis (East Asian common octopus), 284 nucleotides. RefSeq lists it as uncharacterized. The transcript is spliced from 3 exons. The record is from RefSeq and is a predicted model, not a curated record. Lineage: Eukaryota; Metazoa; Mollusca; Cephalopoda; Octopoda; Octopodidae.